RNAcentral lists this ribosomal RNA (503 nucleotides) under Morinda citrifolia (Indian mulberry). Its description in RNAcentral is "eukaryotic LSU rRNA". The stretch from base 154 to 307 matches the Rfam family "5.8S ribosomal RNA". Lineage: Eukaryota; Viridiplantae; Streptophyta; Magnoliopsida; Gentianales; Rubiaceae. The record is from RNAcentral.
CUGUGGAAGGAUCAUUGUCGAAUUCUGACUGGCAGACCGCAAACUCGUUAACAAACUUUGGGGUGCUGGCGGGCGAGAGAAACGCCGCCCGUCCGUGCACCAAACAAGCUAAACUCUCGGCACGGGAUGCGCGUCUGGUUAUUUAACAAAAACAACUCUCGACAACGGAUAUUUAGGCUCUCGCAUCAAUAAAGAGUGUAACGAAAUGCGAUACUUGGUGUGAAUUGCUGAAUCUCGUGAACCAUCCAGUCUGCCUAGGCGUCACGCAAUCUGUCGCCACCCCCUCCUCGCCCUCGUGGGAAUGACGUGGGUGACCGAUGUUGGCCUCCCGUGCCCCUAGCGGCGCGGCUGGCCUAAAUGCGAGUUCUCGACCUGGGAUGUCAAGGUGAGUGGUGGCUAAACUCAUCAACUCGAGAGCUGUCGUGACGACGCCCGACUGGGACUCUCCAACCCUAGAGCUCUUCGCGAGCCUUCGACCGCAACCCCAGGUCAGGCGGGAUUAC